UACGUAGGGGGCAAGCGUUGUCCGGAAUCAUUGGGCGUAAAGCGCGCGUAGGCGGCCCUGUAAGUCCGUUGUGAAAUCUCCGGGCUUAACCCGGAAAGGUCAACUGAUACUGCAGGGCUAGAGUGCAGAAGGGGCAACUGGAAUUCUCGGUGUAGCGGUGAAAUGCGUAGAUAUCGAGAGGAACACCUGCGGCGAAGGCGGGUUGCUGGGCUGACACUGACGCUGAGGCGCGAAAGCCAGGGGAGCGAACGGG
Molecule: ribosomal RNA, 253 nt
Filed under: uncultured bacterium
Lineage: Bacteria
Description: partial 16S ribosomal RNA
Rfam family: Bacterial small subunit ribosomal RNA
Source: RNAcentral